RNAcentral lists this long non-coding RNA (357 nucleotides) under Lathyrus oleraceus (garden pea). RNAcentral's name for it is "Pisum sativum (pea) long non-coding RNA (PSAT_LNC017876)". The record is from RNAcentral. Lineage: Eukaryota; Viridiplantae; Streptophyta; Magnoliopsida; Fabales; Fabaceae.
UCCCAGUCACUGUCAGUUUCUCCACCUACCGCACAGGCGUGAUCCGAAUCCAACAUUCCAGCACUGACAAAGGUGAACGACGAACGACGUCCUCUGUUCUGCUCAGACGAAUCUUGACCUGGCCGAUAGCCAACCCCAAACAUAUCCGACUUUACCACAAUGCCUAUGAUUUUUCCCCAGCCUGGGAUCCCUCCAUUUCUCAACAUUUCCAGUGCCUGUUUGUAAGAAGACACGGACGGUUUUUUCUCUUUUCCAACACCGAUGACAUUUUUCACCUUGAUGGCUCCAACUACCAGAUUGGGUGUUUCAAAUUUUCCACCGUCCAUUUCCACCCCCUUCAUCUUCUGGGUCAUAUCC